Triticum dicoccoides is the source of this 1121-nucleotide long non-coding RNA. RefSeq lists it as uncharacterized. NCBI's taxonomy places the organism in Eukaryota, Viridiplantae, Streptophyta, Magnoliopsida, Poales, Poaceae. The transcript is spliced from 3 exons. The record is from RefSeq and is a predicted model, not a curated record.
CGCUUCUUCCCCAAUCUCUCUCCCCCUCCGCCGCCACCCCCUCGUCUUGUCACUCCUCCUAGAUCGGCUCCUCUCUCGCUCCUCCGUGAUCCCCACCUAGAUUCGCUCCUCUCUCCCUCCUCUAUCCCCACCUAGAUUCACUCCUCUCUCCCUUCUCCUCGAUGCUGAUUUUUUAGAGCAAGCAGAUUGGAUCGAUGGUGACCGCAUGAGCGUGCCGCCACCGCAUGGAAUCGCCUUGCCGCUGCGUGGAGUCGCUUUGUCGCCGCCGCCCGUUGCCACUUGCCAGCAUGGUAACUUCGUCCCAACCACUGCUCACCUCCAGGUCCUCUCAUGUUGCUGCUUGUCGUGGUCAUCUUGUCCGCUGGGCGCUUGCUUCCUACUGACAUACUACAUGUGUGCUUGCUGCUACCGUAGUACAUGCAUGCUUGUUGUUUCCGUAGUACAUAUGUGGUUGCUAGGUGAUGGGCUGCGUGCUUGCGUGAUUGAUUUCCUUCAUCUUGCAGGUGCACACAUGCACCUAACAUCCAGGGAAGUCCACCAUCUGAACCACCACGACCAUCCCUCUUGGCUAGCACAAGCAGCGCCAUCGGCACUUCGGAAGUGAAGGUCUAUCUCAUGGACACCCAGGUUGAUAUACAGUUUUCUCAACACCCAGAUUUGUGGAGCAUGAUGUUGGACAAUUAGGAUGGGACUGCAUACCUUUAGAUUUUGGUGCUGAGAUUUGUGUGCCCCUCGCUACAUGUAAGCCACGUUUAUGAUGUUGAUCCUUCUGCUAUGGAUUGUAGUUUGGUUCCACUACUAGCGCCUUGAAGACUAAGGAUGGUGUUGUCCUGGCUGUGAGAAACGUAUCACCUCACCACUGCUGGUAUGAUUGCAUAGCGGGCUACUUGGUGCUGCCCAUCACAAUCUGCAUGACGUGAUAGAUAGCGUCCAUCAGGAGUGUCGAUGGCAAGAACAUGAAUAACUACUUCGAUAGUUUGAAUGUACAGUUUGUGUGAACUGGAUUGUACUAUUUCUUAAUUUUUUGAGUGAUAUUUUGUUAAGCUAUGUUGUAAAAUUACCAUUUUAUGGAGGUUUUUGUAAACUACUAUAUUGUAGAUACCUCUCGAUGGUUGAAUGAA